GAUGAACGCUGGCGGCGUGCUUAACACAUGCAAGUCGAACGAUGAAGCCCAGCUUGCUGGGUGGAUUAGUGGCGAACGGGUGAGUAACACGUGAGUAACCUGCCCUUGACUCUGGGAUAAGCCUGGGAAACUGGGUCUAAUACUGGAUAUGACUUCUUAUCGCAUGGUGGGGGGUGGAAAGAUUUAUUGGUCUUGGAUGGACUCGCGGCCUAUCAGCUUGUUGGUGAGGUAAUGGCUCACCAAGGCGACGACGGGUAGCCGGCCUGAGAGGGUGACCGGCCACACUGGGACUGAGACACGGCCCAGACUCCUACGGGAGGCAGCAGUGGGGAAUAUUGCACAAUGGGCGCAAGCCUGAUGCAGCGACGCCGCGUGAGGGAUGACGGCCUUCGGGUUGUAAACCUCUUUCAGUAGGGAAGAAGCGAGAGUGACGGUACCUGCAGAAGAAGCGCCGGCUAACUACGUG
This 466-nucleotide ribosomal RNA is filed under the name uncultured bacterium. RNAcentral's name for it is "partial 16S ribosomal RNA". It matches the Rfam family "Bacterial small subunit ribosomal RNA", at positions 28 to 507 of the family's 1533-position model. The record is from RNAcentral.